GACCCCGUAGCUCAAUUGGAUAGAGCGUUCCCCUCCUAAGGGAAAGGCUGGAGGUUCGAUUCCUCUCGGGGUCGCCA
RNAcentral lists this transfer RNA (77 nucleotides) under Cardiobacteriaceae bacterium. RNAcentral describes it as "tRNA-Arg". It matches the Rfam family "tRNA". From Rfam's summary of the family: Transfer RNA (tRNA) molecules are approximately 80 nucleotides in length. The record is from RNAcentral. Lineage: Bacteria; Pseudomonadati; Pseudomonadota; Gammaproteobacteria; Cardiobacteriales; Cardiobacteriaceae.